RNAcentral lists this ribosomal RNA (253 nucleotides) under uncultured bacterium. Its description in RNAcentral is "partial 16S ribosomal RNA". It matches the Rfam family "Bacterial small subunit ribosomal RNA", at positions 524 to 776 of the family's 1533-position model. The record is from RNAcentral.
UACGUAGGGGGCAAGCGUUGUCCGGAAUCAUUGGGCGUAAAGAGCGCGUAGGCGGUCCGGUAAGUCCGCUCUGAAAGUCCGGGGCUCAACCCCGGGAGGCGGGCGGAUACUGUCGGGCUAGAGUCCGGAAGAGGCGAGUGGAAUUCCUGGUGUAGCGGUGAAAUGCGUAGAUAUCAGGAGGAACACCGGUGGCGAAGGCGGCCCUCUGGACGGUGACUGACGCUGAGACGCGAAAGCGUGGGGAGCAAACAGG